This 303-nucleotide ribosomal RNA is filed under the name uncultured bacterium. RNAcentral's name for it is "partial 16S ribosomal RNA". It matches the Rfam family "Bacterial small subunit ribosomal RNA", at positions 507 to 807 of the family's 1533-position model. The record is from RNAcentral.
AGCAGUAGCCGCGGGAAUACGGAGGGAGCUAGCGUUGUUCGGAAUUACUGGGCGUAAAGCGCGCGUAGGCGGUUACUCAAGUCAGAGGUGAAAGCCCGGGGCUCAACCCCGGAACUGCCUUUGAAACUAGGUGACUAGAAUCUUGGAGAGGUCAGUGGAAUUCCGAGUGUAGAGGUGAAAUUCGUAGAUAUUCGGAAGAACACCAGUGGCGAAGGCGACUGACUGGACAAGUAUUGACGCUGAGGUGCGAAAGCGUGGGGAGCAAACAGGAUUAGAUACCCCCGUAGUCCCUGUCUCUUAUAC